AACCUUUUAUUCGCUAUGGCUUGUUGAUCGGCUUACUUGUCCGCUCAGAGAGUCUGUGUUGUCUAGUAGUAUAAAAACGCCCCCUACCUACCUCAGAGCUCUCUUCUCCUUCUCACGCUUGCUUGGUUUCCGAAUUCGAAAAAUCUAUCUCUUAAUCGCGACUUACUAUCAUUCAAGACUUCGUAUCUGUUGGACCCAAUUUUGGUCAAUAUGUUAAUGGGCCACGAUCAAGUAAAUGCACCGCGAGGAGUUAAAUCCCACAGCGAACACUCGAGCUCCAGAUGGAGACUUCGAAGAUCCGGAGAUCGCGGAACGGUUGCAGAGAUCGCGGAACGGUUGCGAGCAUCACGAGAGCAUCCCGUUAUAAGAAAGAGGUCGACACAUAAGAAAAUGACACAUUGAAAACCCUAGAGAGAGCUACCCCCAUACUUCGACCUUGUUUUUCAUCCAUCUUUAGAUCUUUUCUCUUAGCGAUCUCAUUGUAACGUUUGAUCUUGCUUUACUCAUUGUAUUCGAUCUUGUUCAUCAAUAAAAGUCCAUUUUUGUCUA
Molecule: long non-coding RNA, 549 nt
Organism: Brassica napus (rape)
Lineage: Eukaryota; Viridiplantae; Streptophyta; Magnoliopsida; Brassicales; Brassicaceae
Exons: 2
Source: RefSeq, a predicted model, not a curated record